UACCGACUAAAACCCAACGAGCUCCUUUC
RNAcentral lists this small RNA (29 nucleotides) under Bombyx mori (domestic silkworm). Its description in RNAcentral is "piRNA piR-bmo-1783372". The record is from RNAcentral. Lineage: Eukaryota; Metazoa; Arthropoda; Insecta; Lepidoptera; Bombycidae.